GGGCAUUUGGUCUAGUGGUAUGAUUCUCGCUUCGGGAGUGAGAGGUCCCGAGUUCAAUUCUCGGAAUGCCCC
Brassica napus (rape) is the source of this 72-nucleotide non-coding RNA. The record is from Rfam. NCBI's taxonomy places the organism in Eukaryota, Viridiplantae, Streptophyta, Magnoliopsida, Brassicales, Brassicaceae.